GAAUAUCUAUGAUGCAGAGAUGGU
RNAcentral lists this non-coding RNA (24 nucleotides) under Arabidopsis thaliana (thale cress). Lineage: Eukaryota; Viridiplantae; Streptophyta; Magnoliopsida; Brassicales; Brassicaceae. The record is from RNAcentral.